GACGAACGCUGGCGGCGUGCUUAACACAUGCAAGUCGAACGCUGAAGCACCAGCUUGCUGGUGUGGAUGAGUGGCGAACGGGUGAGUAAUACGUGAGUAACCUGCCCUUGACUCUGGGAUAAGCCCGGGAAACUGGGUCUAAUACUGGAUGCUACAUGUCACCGCAUGGUGGUGUGUGGAAAGGGUUUACUGGUCUUGGAUGGGCUCACGGCCUAUCAGCUUGUUGGUGAGGUAAUGGCUCAUCAAGGCGACGACGGGUAGCCGGCCUGAGAGGGUGACCGGCCACACUGGGACUGAGACACGGCCCAGACUCCUACGGGAGGCAGCAGUGGGGAAUAUUGCACAAUGGGCGAAAGCCUGAUGCAGCGACGCCGCGUGAGGGAUGACGGCCUUCGGGUUGUAAACCUCUUUCAGCAGGGAAGAAGCCACAAGUGACGGUACCUGCAGAAGAAGCGCCGGCUAACUACGUG
RNAcentral lists this ribosomal RNA (470 nucleotides) under uncultured bacterium. RNAcentral describes it as "partial 16S ribosomal RNA". It matches the Rfam family "Bacterial small subunit ribosomal RNA", at positions 28 to 507 of the family's 1533-position model. The record is from RNAcentral.